GGGGGUGGAGCUCAGUGGUAGAGUGUGUGCUUAUCAUGCAUGAGGAACUGGGUUCAGUCCCCAGUACCUCCA
RNAcentral lists this transfer RNA (72 nucleotides) under Camelus bactrianus (Bactrian camel). It matches the Rfam family "tRNA". From Rfam's summary of the family: Transfer RNA (tRNA) molecules are approximately 80 nucleotides in length. Their secondary structure includes four short double-helical elements and three loops (D, anti-codon, and T loops). The record is from Rfam by way of RNAcentral. Lineage: Eukaryota; Metazoa; Chordata; Mammalia; Artiodactyla; Camelidae. RNAcentral also lists the same sequence under 2 other names.